RNAcentral lists this ribosomal RNA (504 nucleotides) under uncultured bacterium. RNAcentral's name for it is "partial 16S ribosomal RNA". It matches the Rfam family "Bacterial small subunit ribosomal RNA", at positions 899 to 1397 of the family's 1533-position model. The record is from RNAcentral.
ACUCAAAUGAAUUGACGGGGGCCCGCACAAGCGGUGGAACAUGUGGUUUAAUUCGACACUACGCGAGGAACCUUACCUAGGCUUGACAUGCAUAUGACCGUCGUGGAAACACGAUCUUCUAGGCUUCGGUCUAGACAUUUGCACAGGUGCUGCAUGGCUGUCGUCAGCUCGUGUCGUGAGAUGUUGGGUUAAGUCCUCUAACGAGCGCAACCCUUGUCGUCAGUUGCAACUGCGUAAGCAGGCACUCUGACGAGACUGCCUGGGAAACCAGGAGGAAGGUGGGGAUGACGUCAAGUCCUCAUGGCCCUUAUGCCUAGGGCGACACACAUGUUACAAUGGCUAAUACAAAGAGCUGCAAGCCUGUAAAGGUAAGCUAAUCUCAUAAAGUUAGUCUAAGUUCGGAUUGAGGUCUGCAACUCGACCUCAUGAAGUUGAAAUCGCUAGUAAUCGCGUAUCAGCAACGACGCGGUGAAUACGUUCUCGGGCCUUGUACACACCGCCCGU